This 480-nucleotide ribosomal RNA is filed under the name uncultured bacterium. RNAcentral describes it as "partial 16S ribosomal RNA". It matches the Rfam family "Bacterial small subunit ribosomal RNA", at positions 28 to 507 of the family's 1533-position model. The record is from RNAcentral.
GACGAACGCUGGCGGCGUGCUUAACACAUGCAAGUCGAACGAUGAAGCAAAGACUCGUAGCUUCGGCAGAAAUUCAUUUCGGAUUAGUGGCAGACGGGUGAGUAACGCGUGAGCAACCUACCUCUUACAAAGGGAUAGCCUCGGGAAACCGGGAUUAAUACCAUAUAACAUUGUGACGAAGCAUUUCGAUGCAAUCAAAGCUACGGCGGUAAGAGAUGGGCUCGCGUCCCAUUAACCGGAUGGUGAGGUAACGGCGCACCAUAGUGACGAUGGGUAAACGGCCAGAGAGGGUGAGCGGUCACACUGGAACUGAGACACGGUCCAGACUCCUACAGGAGGGAGCAGUGGGGAAUAUUGCACAAUGGAGGGAACUAUGAUGCAGCGACGCCGCGUGAGUGAUGAAGGAAUUCGUGAAGUAAAGCUCUGUUCUAUGGGAAGAAAAGGACUGUACCAUAGGAGAAAGCUCCGGCUAAAUACGUG